This 59-nucleotide transfer RNA is filed under the name Leucaena leucocephala (white popinac). Its description in RNAcentral is "tRNA-Asp". RNAcentral also lists the same sequence under 3 other names. The record is from RNAcentral. Lineage: Eukaryota; Viridiplantae; Streptophyta; Magnoliopsida; Fabales; Fabaceae.
UUGCUCAGUCGGUUAGAGUGCUGGUCUGUCACGCCAGAAGUCGCGGGUUCGAACUCUAU